AUCUCGUUGAAGUGCACGGAAUCAUUGUACUUAUAACCGCUGAAACCAUUUGUGGAGAAGGAAGUUUCAACCACUUUGGAAGUUGUGCAUAUUGCCCAGCGGGUUCAUAUCAGGUUGGAGAUAGAUGUCAGUGGUGUACACCAGGUUAUUACCAAAAAUAUGUUGGUCAGACAAAAUGUAUACUUUGUCCUCAGGGACAUAUUUCACCUGUCGGAAGCAAUGCAAUCCAACAAUGUUAUGUUCCUGGUGCUGAAAGCAACGAGGAAGAAGACGGUCUCUCAGCGGAAGUCAUUGUUGCUAUCGUUUCUGCAGUCAUCGCAUUCCUAGGUUUCGGAAUAGCAGUGUUAGAGUAUUGCAGAAGAAAGAGUUAAAAGAAAUCUGGCACAAACUAAACAAACAUAAAUCCCAUUGUUUUAGCAGAUAUGAGCAAGGAAUGUAAAGGGUUUCUAUAUUGUGGAGAUUGAACUUUUCCGAGAAUAAAACGCGUUCAAACGCGUGAUUAUUUUAUAUUCAUUGACGAUAUUUUCAUGGGAUGGGACACAAUCAUAGAGUACAGUACCUUUUUUAAUACUUAAUGCGUACAAACUCAUACAGACACAGUCAUUUAAUUAUGAAAUACUCAGAAAAUCAAAAGUUUUAUAGCAAAGCUUAUGAUUUGAUAAUAAUAAAUGUGUAAUUAAUUCAAUUAUAUCAAUAAUAUGUCAACGCAUUGAAUAUGUAUGCAUGCCUGAAAAAAUUGUCAAAUGAAUAGAAAAAAAGAGUUCUGUUGUAAAUAAAUUAAUAUGAUGUUCCCGAGUUUGGUGUAAAAUGUGGGUUGUGGUCAGAGCAUACUUGUAUUUUUUUCUUUACAGUACACCUGUACAUUGUGAUUAACGUUUGCAUCCAUGAUUCAUAUAUUAGAUAUAGCAUUAACAUUUUUUA
Molecule: long non-coding RNA, 921 nt
Organism: Saccostrea cuccullata (small rock oyster)
Lineage: Eukaryota; Metazoa; Mollusca; Bivalvia; Ostreida; Ostreidae
Exons: 3
Source: RefSeq, a predicted model, not a curated record